CGGACGGGUGAGUAACGCGUGAGAAUCUGCCUUCAGGACGGGGACAACAGUUGGAAGCGACUGCUAAUACCGGAUAUGCCGAGAGGUGAAACAUUAAAUGGCCUGGAGAGGAGCUCGCGGCUGAUUAGCUAGUUGGUUGGGUAAAGGCUGACCAAGGCGACGAUCAGUAGCUGGUCUGAGAGGAUGAACAGCCACACUGGGACUGAGACACGGCCCAGACUCCUACGGGAGGCAGCAGUGGGGAAUUUUCCGCAAUGGGGGCAACCCUGACGGAGCAACGCCGCGUGGGGGAAGAAGGUUUGUGGAUUGUAAACCCCUUUUCUCUGGGAAGAAGGAAUGACGGUACCAGAGGAAUCAGCAUCGGCUAACUCCGUGCCAGCAGCCGCGGUAAUACGGAGGAUGCAAGCGUUAUCCGGAAUUAUUGGGCGUAAAGCGUUCGCAGGUGGUUAAUCAAGUCUGCUGUUAAAGUGCGGGGCUAAACUCCGUAAGAGCGGUGGAAACUGGUUGACUAGAGGAUGGUAGGGGUAGAGGGAAUUCCCAGUGUAGCGGUGAAAUGCGUAGAUAUUGGGAAGAACACCGGUGGCGAAAGCGCUCUACUGGACCAUGACUGACACUGAGGGACGAAAGCUAGGGGAGCGAAAGGGAUUAGAUACCCCUGUAGUC
RNAcentral lists this ribosomal RNA (663 nucleotides) under uncultured cyanobacterium. RNAcentral describes it as "bacterial SSU rRNA". It matches the Rfam family "Bacterial small subunit ribosomal RNA", at positions 99 to 795 of the family's 1533-position model. Lineage: Bacteria; Bacillati; Cyanobacteriota. The record is from RNAcentral.